CAGAAAAGUAGAUUCUGUCUUGUAAUUUCAAUAAAGUUGUUGCAUGUGCUAUUUCUCAAACCCAAGUGGAAGGUCAUGAAUGUCAGUGUAUAUUAUGGCAAGAAUAUCAACAAUAUAUGGCAACCAAAUUGUAACAGAAUAUCUUGUAUUAUUGUAUUUAUUAUAGACUACAAAUCAGGGAUUAGAGACGGUAAAUUAGGGAUUAUUACAUGUAUUUAGACUGAAUUCUUCCUUCAGAGAUCAAUGAAAACAGAGAACAAUUUUACAUUGAAAUUUAAUAUUUGUGACAUGGUAUCAGAGCUAAUUAUUCUAAUCUAGACCUUUGUUCUUCUCUUCAGUCUACAGACUGAAUUCGUCAUUAUUUGGUAAUUUUUUUUGGGUUCCUAGGAUGUCUGGAGAGGCUUUUCUUACUCGAUUCAAUGGCAAAAACUAUGCCAUUUAGGAGUUUCAGUUUCGUAUGUUUGUUAAAGGGAAGGAAUUAUAGGGGCAUCUCGAUGGAUCUUCACCAGCACCAACCGAUCCACAGGAGCUGAGUAUAUGGACUACCAAGGAUGCGAAAAUUGGCUCUUGGAUACUGGGGUCUGUUGAACCCCAUAUGAUCAACAAUCUUCGAUCGUUUGGCACAGGGGGAGGAGAUUUGGGACUACUUCAGACGCAUCUAUUCCCAGAACAAUUCAGCUAAAAAAUUUCAAGUCGAAAUGUGUAUUGCGAAUUACAAACAAGGUAAUCUCUCAAUUGAACAAUUCUAUGCUGGAUUUCUAAACCCAUGGAGUGAAUAUACUGGCAUAAUUUACUCUAAAAUACCGAAGGAGAGUUUAAAAGCACUAUACCUUGUUUAUGCCGAGAGCCAGAGGGACCAGUUCUUAAUGAAGCUCCGACCAGAAUUUGAGACCGUGAGAGCUAGCUUGAUCAACCAAAAUCCAGUACCCACUUUGGAUGAAUGUUUGGGGGAACUGUUAUGGGAAGAACGAUGACUCGCCACUCAACACGAGUUGACUCAGGACACUGUCACAGAGAUGAAUGUGGCUUACAUGACUCAAGGAAGGGGACGACAGAGACGAUAGAGGGGUGUGAGUGUGCAGUGUUUUAAUUGCAAAGAAUUAAGGCACAUUGCCAGAAAUUGCAGCGAGAAAUUCUGUAAUUAUUGUAAGAAAGAGGGGCAUGUAAUCAAGGAAUGUCAUCUGCGAUCACAGAAUCGACAAAGGUUUACUGUGCAGUCGAAAUUGGGGGCUGUUUCUAUGGCUGCCGCAGCCGUGUCCUCACCGUCGACACCAGAAUCUUCAUCGUCGGUGAGCUCUUCAUCGAGCACUCUCACUCCCGAGAUGGUGCAGUAGAUGAUAAUAUCUGCCUUCUCUGCACUCGGGAUUUCUGGUAAGAAAGAUAAACUUAACUUUCCCUUGGAUUCGACACAUAAUAAACAAUGGUUAAUGGAUUCGGCAGCGUCGAAUCAUAUGACCAGCAAUGAAAAUGGGUUGUAUAAUGUGCGAAAAUACAUGGGUAAUCAGCAUAUAUGGGUAGCAAAUGGUGAUAAUUUGCUGAUUUUGUCGAUUGGUAAUUUGGGGUCUUAUUUCAAAAAUAUUUUUGUGUCACCAAAAUUAUCCACAAGUUUACUCUCUGUUGGUCAAAUGGUAGAAAAUGACAGUGAAAUUCACUUUGAUCGUCAUGGUUGUUGUGUGCAGGAUCAAGUGUCGGGGAAGGUGAUUGCGUAGGGGCCUAAAGUGGGACGUUUAUUUCCAAUACAAUUUUCUAUUCCUAGUAUUAAUUCUUGUGCUUAUUCUACUGUCAUUAAUAAUCCUUAUUUUUGGCAUAAGAAAUUGGGGCAUCCCAAUUCUAAUGUAUUGACUCAUCUUAUGAAACAUGGAUAUUUGGGGAAUAAAAAUUCUUUUUCAACAGAAUUUUUGGAUUGUAGUUCUUGCAAAUUGGGUAAAAGCAAAGCAUUAUCAUUUUCUUCACAUGGUAGUCGUGCUUCUAAAUGUUUUGAAAUUAUUCAUAUUGAUGUAUGGGGCGUAAGCCCUGUUAUCUCUUAUGCUUAAUAUAAAUAUUUUGUCACGUUUAUUGAUGAUUUCAGUCGUUUCACUUGGAUAAAUUUUCUCCAAUCUAAGACUGAUGUAUUCUCAACAUUUCAAGCUUUCGUUGUAUUUGUUGAAAAUCAAUUUUCUGCUCAUAUUAAAAUACUUUGUUCUGACUCCGGGGGGGAAUGUGUCCAAAGAAUUUCAGGAAUAUCUAAAAAACAAAGGGAUUCUCUCUCAAAGAUCUUGUCCCUACACCCCUCAACAUAAUGGAGUUGCUGGGCGUAAGAAUCGUCAUCUUUUAGAUGUUGUUCGCACCUUAUUAAUUGAUUCUUCGGUACCUACUCGAUUUUGGAUAGAAGCUCUGUCAACAGCCGUUCAUCUAAUUAAUCGUUUGCCUUCUCAAGUUCUAAACUUUGCAUCUCCAUACUCUAUUUUAUUUGGUGUUAUUCUUGAGUAUGAUUCUCUUCAUGUUUUUAGGUGUGUUUGUUUUGUUCACUUACCAUUUACUGAACGUAAUAAACUUUCAGCCCAAGCUGCUCGUUGUGCUUUUCUAGGAUACAAUAAUUCUCAUAAAGGGUUUGUGUGUUAUGAUGCAAAUGCUCAUAAAAUUCGUAUCUCUCGAAAUGUGAUUUUCUUUACAAAAUCAGAAUUUUUCCCUUCUUGUCCCUCUACAGAAUCCACUCCUAUCCAGCUUCCCAUAUUUGAUGAUGAUAGUCCAUCUUAUAUCUUUGAACGUUUUAAGCCAGGAAUUGUAUAUCAAAGACGUCAUCCACCAUCCACUUUGCCCCUUCCGGACACGGAACCGACAUCUGAUCAUUCCCCUCAACUAAGACGAUCAAUUCGAGUUUCACGUGCCCCAAACAGGUAUGGAUACUCAGCAACUAUUAUUGAUAGUACUUUUGUGCCUAAGACUUAUGCCCAGGCUUCUACCCAAGACUGUUGGCAACAUGCCAUGAAAGAGGAACUUCAGGCUCUUCAGGAUAAUCACACAUGGGAUAUUGUUUCUUGUCCUACCGGAAUUAAACCUAUUGGCUGCAAAUGGGUAUACACUAUUAAAUUCCAACCUGAUGGAUCUGUGGAACGAUAUAAAGCACGGUUGGUGGCUCUUGGAAAUUGUCAGGCAUAUGGUAUUAAUUAUGAGGAGACAUUUGCACCUGUGGCUAAAAUGACUACCAUACGAACCAUUAUGGCAAUUGCUGCUUCCAAGAGAUGACCACUUCGUCAAAUGGAUGUAAAAAAUGCAUUUUUACAUGGAGACCUGAAAGAGAAUAUUUAUAUGACUCCUCCUGGUAUGUUUACUCACCCAUCUGAUAAAGUUUGCUGGUUGAAACGGUCUCUGUAUGGUCUAAAACAGGCACCACGUGCAUGGUUUGAAAAAUUACGCACUACUUUUCUAAAACUUAAAUUUAUUCAGAGCCAAUAUGAUUCCUCUCUGUUUCUUCAGCAAACUACUACUGGUAUUGUUGCUCUUUUGGUAUAUAUGGAUGAUAUUAUCAUUACAGGAUCUAACAUUACACUCAUUGAGGAUUUACAGGGUUCUCUUAACAGUGAAUUUCAUAUGAAGGAUCUGGGACACCUUCACUAUUUUCUUGGUCUACAGGUGCCCUCUAUGUCCAAUGAGAUUUCUCUACAUCAGCACAAAUACACCCAAGAGAUUUUUCUCUUGGACGGUCUUGAAUCAGGGAAUAUCGUUCUUACACCUCUCGAGAUUAAUUUAAAACUUUGUUAGAAUGAUGGUGACCUGUUACCUGAUCCCUCCAUAUACAGGCAAUUGGUGAGCAAUUUGAAUUAUCUAACCAUUACUCGGCCAAAUAUUUCUUUUGCAGUAUAACAAGUCAGUCAAUUUUUACAGGCUCUUCGUCAACCUCAUUUAGCUGUUGUCUGAAGAAUUCUUCGCUAUCUUAAAAGCACAUCUGGGCGAGGAUUAUUUUUUCCUGCUGAUAAUUCAUUACAAUUAACAGGUUAUAGUGAUGCAGAUUGGGCAGGGUGCAUGGAUACACGUCGGUCUGUUACUGGGUGAUGUAUGUUUCUUGAAAAUGCUUUCAUUUCAUGGAAAAGCAAAAAGCAAGACCAAAUCUCAAAAUCUUCCACAGAAUCUGAGUAUCGAGCUAUGUCCUCCGCAUGUUCUGAAAUUGUGUGGUUCCAGGGUUUGCUACGUGAACUUGGUUUUUCUCAGCACACUCCUACACCUCUUCAUGCUAAUAACACAAGUGCUACUCAAAUUGCUACUAAUCCUGUGUUUCAUGAACGCACCAAACAUAUUGAAGUUGAUUAUCACUAUAUUUGUGAAGCUCUUGAUCAUAAUAUUCUUACACUACCUUAUAUUUCCACCGAGCAUCACACAGCUGAUGUCUUUAUGAAGGCCUUGUCUCGGCUUCGACAUCAACUCAUGAUUGACAAAUUGAUGCUUCUUGAUCGGCCAACAUCAAUUUGAGGGGGGAUGUCAGUGUGUAUUAUGGCAAGAAUAUCAACAAUAUAUGGAAACCAAAUUGUAACAUAAUAUCUUAUAUUUAUUAUAGACUACGAAUCAGGGAUUAGAGACGGUAAAUUAGGGAUUAUUACAUGUAUUUAAAGGACUGAAUUCUUCCUUCAGAGAUCAAUGAAAACAAAAAACAAUUUUACAUUGAAAUUUGAUAUUUGUGACAAUGAAACACUGCCAUGUUACAAGAGAUGACACAGACAGCAACAAACAGGAUGAUGCUAUUAACGGGAUGAUGCUAGCAAACAGGCUGUUUAAUUUUACUUUCAGCAGAGCAGAACUAGUGCUUCAUGCUACUAACAUAUCUAUUAGGAGAGCUAACAAACAUAUAGAGACAGAGAGCAGAGAGGAGAAAGCAGCAAUAACAGGCAGUUCCUGGUCAAGGUAUGGAUCAUCCUCUGCAUUCGUCAGCAUCAAUUCCUACAUCUGGGCCAGGGUCUUCUUCUGCAGGUUCUUCCUUGGCGGGGUGUAUGAAUUCACGGCCUACCUCCUCCUUGUUGUACCCUUGUAGACCGCCCUCCAUGGUUCCUCUCUAGCCAUAAUGAUCACGAACGUCAAGAAUAAUAGUAGUAUUAGUUUCCAAGUUGACAAUGAAGAGGUGAUUAUUCACAAGCAUGCAAACCAGCAGAGAUAAACAUAAAAGCUGGGUGGAGAAAGGGUUACGUUCAGCUAGGAAUUCCUGAGCUUCAAGGCACUUACCACCUCUCCUUCCUUUGCCUUGGCAUCAAGUUCUGAUCUUACUUGCUGUGUGGUCAUCCCAAGUUUCAUGAAGUAGUAUAAAAUCUGAGUAUCAUCCCCUUGCCGCUGAUGUUGCCGAAUCAUCUUGGUUUCAUUCUUUGCUUAGUGACUUAUCUAUUGCACCUCGUCUACGCUGAUAAUAUUUCCACCACGUAUCUCGUAGUCAAUCCUAUUAAUCAUGCUAGGACUAAGCAUUUAAAGGUUGCUUUGCAUUUUGUUCAUGAACGAGUUGCGUCGAGAGAUAUCAGAGUCAAGUUUGUUUCCAGUAGUGAUCAUGUGGCCGAUAUUCUCACCAAUAUUUUCACCAAA
This 5538-nucleotide long non-coding RNA is filed under the name Populus trichocarpa (black cottonwood). RNAcentral describes it as "long non-coding RNA (PTRI_LNC003419)". Lineage: Eukaryota; Viridiplantae; Streptophyta; Magnoliopsida; Malpighiales; Salicaceae. The record is from RNAcentral.